RNAcentral lists this ribosomal RNA (460 nucleotides) under uncultured bacterium. RNAcentral's name for it is "partial 16S ribosomal RNA". It matches the Rfam family "Bacterial small subunit ribosomal RNA", at positions 338 to 795 of the family's 1533-position model. The record is from RNAcentral.
CCUACGGGAGGCAGCAGUGAGGAAUAUUGGUCAAUGGGCGCUAGCCUGAACCAGCCAAGUAGCGUGAAGGAUGACUGCCCUAUGGGUUGUAAACUUCUUUUAUAUGGGAAUAAAGUGCAGUAUGUAUACUGCUUUGCAUGUACCUUAUGAAUAAGGAUCGGCUAACUCCGUUCCAGCAGCCGCGGUAAUACGGAGGAUCCGAGCGUUAUCCGGAUUUAUUGGGUUUAAAGGGAGCGUAGGCUGGUUGUUAAGUCAGUUGUGAAAGUUUGCGGCUCAACCGUAAAAUUGCAGUUGAUACUGGCAGCCUUGAGUACAGUAGAGGUAGGCGGAAUUCGUGGUGUAGCGGUGAAAUGCUUAGAUAUCACGAAGAACUCCGAUUGCGAAGGCAGCCUGCUGGACUGUAACUGACGCUGAUGCUCGAAAGUGUGGGUAUCAAACAGGAUUAGAUACCCCAGUAGUC